CGCCUUUUUCUACCCAAUCUUGUUUCGAUCUUAAUUGGGCGCCUUUAGCUUUAUAUUCAUAAUGUUUUUCUAACUGAUUUUCAAUUUGAUUUAUUUUUUGCAAAAUAUCGUUGUUUUCAUUUUUCUGAUAUUUUUCAGUUAAGAUUGUUAAUUUUUUUUCCAUUUGCUUUAUUUCAUUAUUUUUAUUGUAAGCUCUACUUUUGCAAUAAUUUAUUGUAAACAGUUUAAUAUCAAGUUUAAUCGCGUCCCAAAGAAGAUGCACAUCCGUAGUUGUGUCUUGCAUGAUUGUUUUGUAUUUUGCAAUUAUUAUUUCUAUUUCU
This 320-nucleotide long non-coding RNA is filed under the name Mytilus galloprovincialis (Mediterranean mussel). The record is from RNAcentral. Lineage: Eukaryota; Metazoa; Mollusca; Bivalvia; Mytilida; Mytilidae.